This 497-nucleotide ribosomal RNA is filed under the name uncultured bacterium. Its description in RNAcentral is "partial 16S ribosomal RNA". It matches the Rfam family "Bacterial small subunit ribosomal RNA", at positions 28 to 507 of the family's 1533-position model. The record is from RNAcentral.
GACGAACGCUGGCGGCGUGCCUAAUACAUGCAAGUAGAACGCUGAAGAGAGGAGCUUGCUCUUCUUGGAUGAGUUGCGAACGGGUGAGUAACGCGUAGGUAACCUGCCUUGUAGCGGGGGACAACUAUUGGAAACGAUAGCUAAUACCGCAUAACAAUGGAUGACACAUGUCAUUUAUUUGAAAGGGGCAAUUGUUCCACUACAAGAUGGACCUGCGUUGUAUUAGCUAGUAGGUGAGGUAAUGGCUCACCUAGGCGACGAUACAUAGCCGACCUGGGAGGGUGAUCGGCCACACUGGGACUGAGACACGGCCCAGACUCCUACGGGAGGCAGCAGUAGGGAAUCUUCGGCAAUGGGGGCAACCCUGACCGAGCAACGCCGCGUGAGUGAAGAAGGUUUUCGGAUCGUAAAGCUCUGUUGUAAGUCAAGAACGGGUGUGAGAGUGGAAAGUUCACACUGUGACGGUAGCUUACCAGAAAGGGACGGCUAACUACGUG